UGUAAUGGUAUGAACCCCAGAGGAGCUGAUCCAUGGCAAACUCUCCUGACCUUGCAGCAAACACAUGCAUCCAAACCUCACAGUGGAAAUGGACUCAUACAAGUUAACCACAGAGGAAUCCCAGUGUAAACCCAGGUCUCAGUGAAAGGAGGGGAGCAAACCAAGGCAGCGAAUAAAGAUGCUGAAUGCAAUCUAAUGCAGAACAUGAUUCCUGUAAUAAUUGGAUCAGCUAUUGAAAUCUUCAGACCAAGUUAGAGGGGAACUGGCCAC
Molecule: long non-coding RNA, 270 nt
Organism: Pogoniulus pusillus (Red-fronted tinkerbird)
Lineage: Eukaryota; Metazoa; Chordata; Aves; Piciformes; Lybiidae
Exons: 3
Source: RefSeq, a predicted model, not a curated record